CAACGUCCCCCCCGUGACGUGCCCGCCUCCGGGUGAGACGAAAUCCCUGACACUAACUCGAGCGGCACUCGCUCCCACUCGGCGGUGAAUGGGGGAAGUACAACUCCGAACGUUCUAGUCCGGUACAACCCUCGUCUCUUCGGUCUGACACGUCUGAGACACGCCGGUAGUCGACGGUCACGCUUCGCCACAACCACCGGGAAGACUCCAGCGCUGCUAAGCUAGCUAGGAAUGAGCAAGGAUGGCCGGCUCUGCAGCAGAGGAGAAAAACUUCCGACGGUUCCUGGAGCUCUUUCUCCGGGAGAUGAGCCCGCCUCUGCAGGACAGCGACCCGCUCCCUGCGCGCCCCUUGACGGACCUGGUGUGUGAGGACGAGGUGGAGGGGGAAUGCCUCGACUUGUGUCUGCAGCACCUCUACAAAUAUAACUGCCCGUGCUCCUUGGCGGCGGCUCUGGCCAGAGCGACGUCCGACAGCAUCCUGCAGAGCGACCUCACCAUCCACCACCUCGUCAAGAGUGGAGAAGACGGCGUCGGCCCCUUACCACAACUGGAGGCGGUCAAGUUGGCCCGUUUGAUCUUCAAGCGACUGUUCGAUACCUGCAGUCUGUGGAGCAAAGAGAUUCCGUAUCGCCGCCGCCCGCAGCCGUACUACGAGACGUCCAUCCACGCCAUCAAGAACAUGAGGCGCAAGAUGGAGGACCGACACCUCAUCAUCCCCGACUUCAACACGCUCUUCAACGUUCAGGAUCAGGAAGAGCAGGCCUUCUUCGCCGUGUUCGACGGGCACGGUGGCGUGGACGCCGCCAUUUACGCCGCCAACCACCUCCACGUCAACCUGGCGCGCCAGGAGUCCUUGGCCCAGGACCCGGGGGAGGCCUUGCGCCGCGCCUUCAAGAUCACGGACCAGCACUUUGUCAAGAAGGCGUCACGUGAGAACUUACGCUGCGGCACCACGGGCGUGGUCACCUUCCUGCGGGGCCGCACGCUGCACGUGGCCUGGCUGGGGGACUCCCAGGUCAUCCUGGUGCGGCGCGGCCAGGUGGUGGAGCUGAUGAAGGCGCACAAACCCGACCGAGAGGACGAGAAGCAGAGGAUCGAAGCUCUGGGCGGCUGCGUCAUCUGGUUUGGAACCUGGAGAGUCAACGGCAGUCUGUCCGUAUCCAGAGCCAUCGGCGACUCGGAGCACAAGCCUUACAUCUGCGGCGACGCCGACCACAACGUCUUCCCAUUGGACGGCUCCGAGGACUACCUCAUUCUGGCCUGCGAUGGCUUCUGGGACACAGUCAGUCCCGACGAGGCGGUCCGGGUGGUCAGCGACCACCUUCAGGAGAACGCGGGCGACACCUCCAUGGUGGCCCACAAGCUGGUGGCCUCGGCCCGCGACGCCGGCUCCAGCGAUAACAUCACCGUCAUCGUAGUUUUUCUGCGGGACCCCCGCUCCGCGCCACCCACCAUCACGGAGGACGACGACGAAGAGGAGGAGGGCGUGGCGGAAGGUCCGAUGGAGGAGGAGCCAACUGCAGAGCCAGAGGAGGAGCCGGAAGAGGAGCCGGAGGAAGAGGAGGCUGGCAGAGCAGAGCGAGGCGGCGGCGAAGGAGGCAGCGCAGCGGACAACGGGGGGAAGAGUCGUGGCGGCUGGCCCCUGCAGCAGUGCUCCGCUCCGGCCGACCUCGGCUACGAUGACCGCAAGGACUCUUUGACGGACAGAACCAGCCUCAGCCUCCUGGGGCCCACGUUGGGGGGCCGCAUCUUUUCCAGCCUGCACGCCGCCCCCCUGGAUAAACGCCCUCUAAGGCGCCGCCUCCACCUCCCGUACCAGGAGUCCGGUAUCGCCAGUUUUACGGACCCACUGUGGCACCAGACCGCCUCGCUGCUGGGCCGGGUCGCCAGGCGGAGCCACCGGCUCGUCGGCGGCAGGCGUGACCUCAGGCGGCCGCAGAGCUUCACCAAGUCCCUGGCUUUCUUUUCACCUGACCACCUGCAGCGCUGCGCCCCCUGGAGGCCUACGCUGCCCCAUGACCCCGCAGUCUGAGGCGCCUCCUGCGUCUUUUCAAGCCCCGCCCCCUAACCCCGCCUUCCCGCCUCUGCCUUCAACACCUGGUCUUUUCUUUGGCUAGUUUAGCUGCGUGUGGAGCUUUUCUUUCGUGACGUGAACAUUGAGCGCUUGUCUUCAUAAACAAGCUUGGAUCAAAGUGACGCUAGCGGUCAAGCUAAACACUUUUUAGUCAUGACGCUAGUACUCAAACUAACACCUUUCAGUCAUGAUGCUAGCACUCUAACACCUUUCAGUCAUGAUGCUAGCACUCAAACUAACACCUUUCAGUCAUGAUGCUAGCACUCUAACACCUUUCAGUCAUGAUGCUAGCACUCAAACUAACACCUUUCAGUCAUGACGCUAGCACUCAAGCUAACACUUUUCAGUCAUGACGCUAACACUUUUCAGUCAUGACGCUAGCACCCAAACUAACACUUUUCAGUCAUGACGCUAACAAUUUUCAGUCAUGACGCUAGCACUCAAGCUAACACUUUUCAGUCAUGACGCUAACACUUUUCAGUCAUGAUGCUAGCACUCAAGCUAACACUUUUCAGUCAUGAUGCUAGCACUCAAGCUAACACUUUUCAGUCAUGACGCUAGCACUCAAGCUAACACUUUUCAGUCAUGACGCUAACACUUUUCAGUCAUGAUGCUAGCACUCAAGCUAACACCUUUCAGUCAUGAUGCUAGCACUCAAGCUAACACUUUUCAGUCAUGACGCUAGCACUCAAGCUAACAUUUUUCAGUCAUGAUGCUAGCACUCAAGCUAACACCUUUCAGUCAUGAUGCUAGCACCACAGGUAACACCUUUCAGUCAUGAUGCUAGCACUCAAGCUAACACCUUUCAGUCAUGAUGCUAGCACUAAAGGUAACACCUUUCAGUCAUGAUGCUAGCCCUAAAGCUAACACCUUUCAGUCAUGAUGUUAGCAUUCAAGCUAACACCUUUCAGUCAUGAUGCUAGCACCAAAGGUAACACCUUUCAGUCAUGAUGCUAGCCCUAAAGCUAACACCUUUCAGUCAUGAUGUUAGCACUCAAGCUCCUUUCAGUCAUGAUGCUAGCACUAAAGGUAACACCUUUCAGUCAUGAUGCUAGCCCUAAAGCUAACACCUUUCAGUCAUGAUGUUAGCACUCAAGCUAACACCUUUCAGUCAUGAUGCUAGCACUAAAGGUAACACCUUUCAGUCAUGAUGCUAGCCUUAAAGCUAACACCUUUCAGUCAUGAUGUUAGCACUCAAGCUAACACCUUUCAGUCAUGAUGCUAGCACUAAAGGUAACACCUUUCAGUCAUGAUGUUAGCACUCAAGCUAACACCUUUCAGUCAUGAUGCUAGCACUCAAGCUAACACCUUUCAGUCAUGAUGCUAGCAUUCAAGUUAACACUUUUCAGUCAUGCUUGCACUCAAGCUAACACCUUUCAGUCAUGAUGCUAGCCCUAAAGCUAACACCUUUCAGUCAUGAUGCUAGCCCUAAAGCUAACACCUUUCAGUCAUGAUGCUAGCCCUAAAGCUAACACCUUUCAGUCAUGAUGCUAGCACUAAAGCUAACACCUGUCAGUCAUGAUGCUUGCACUCAAGCUAACACUUUUCAGUCAUGACGCUAACACACAAGCUAACAUUUUUCAGUCAUGAUGUUAGCACUCAAGCUAACACUAUUCGGUCAUGAUGCUAGCACUAAAGCUAACUCCUUUCAGUCAUGACGAUAGCCCUCAAGCUAACACUUUCCCGUUACGCUAGCAGCCAAGCUAACACUUUUCAAUCAUACUGUUAACACUUCAGUCAUGACGCUGGCACUCAAGCUAACAGUUUUCAGUCAUGAUGUUAACAGUCAAGCUAAGAUUUUUUCAGUCUUGAAGCCAAAACUUUCAGGCCAUAUGAAACAAAAAUAAAAGUGUACUUUUGGAGGCGGAGCUUACAUUCAAUGAACACAGUUAAUGUUUCCAAGUGCUAUAAAGCAGAUUUUUUGGAACGCAUACAUAGAAAAAAAAAUCCUAAAAUCGUUAUCAGAAAUUUCUUAGCAUUUAAAGCAUGUGAGGUCAUCCUGAUGUUACAGAAAAUGAGUGAGAAGCAAUGAUGUUUUGCAGUUUAAAAAAAGUUUUUCGGGUUUUUCAUCAAAAGGAGAGUUGAACUUGUACGACUGCUGAGUCGAGAUGUUUGGAUUUGUCCCAUCCAUGAUUUUACUUUGUUAAUGCCAGUUUUUUGUCAGCCUCUCAUUCCAUGUGUGCACUCAUGAAAAAGCACUCAGAGGCUGGAUUAUAAAAGAUUAGCCGUCACUUACCUGAUGCUACGCGAAGCAGGGGAUUUAUUUGUGUUGAUGACGCUUUCAGGAGCAGGACAAAAGUCACUCUAUUUUUAUUCUUCUGCUGGCUCCUGAAAUUAUUUGUGCUGCAAGUUGCAAACAGCUGCCUUCUUUGGACUGAUGUUCCUCCAACAACUAGCGAGCUAACUAGUUCUGUACAAAAUACUAGUUAGCUGUGUCUAAAGACCAGACAGUUUAGUCCUAAAACUAGCAUAUACGUUUCUCUGUGUCUGAUUGGACAGCUUGCUAGUUCUGUCUCAAGACCAGCAGGCUAGCCGACCAGUUCUGUCUAAAGACUAGCAGGCUUGCAGACCAGUUCUGUCUAAAGACUAGCAGGCUUGCCGACCAGUUCUGUCUAAAGACUAGCAGGCUUGCAGACCAGUUCUGUCUCAAGACCAGCAGGCUAGCCGACCAGUUCUGUCUAAAGACAAGCAGGCUUGCAGACCAGUUCUGUCUAAAGACUAGCAGGCUUGCCGACCAGUUCUGUCUAAAGACUAGCAGGCUUGCCAACCAGUUCUGUCCAAAGACUCGCAGGCGAGCCGACUAGUUUUGUCUAUUGACUAGCUUUGUCUCAAGACUAGCAGGCUAGCCGACCAUUUUUGUCAAAAGACUAGACGGUUAGCCGACUAGUUUUGUCUAUUGACUGGCUGACUAGUUUUGUCUCAAGACUAGCAGGCUAGCCGACCAGUUCCGUCUUAAGACUAGCACGUUAGCCGACUAAUUUUGUCUAUUGACUAGCUGACUAGUUUUGUCUCAAGACAAGCAGGCUAGCCGACCAGUUCUGUCUAAAGACUAGCAGGUUAGCCGACUAAUUUUGUCUAUUGAGUAGCUGUCUAGUUUUGUCUCAUGACUAGCAGGCUAGCUGACUAGUUCUGUCUAUUGACUAGCUGACUAGUUUUGUCUCAUGACUAGCAGGCUAGCUGACUAGUUUUGUCUAAAGACUAGCAGGCUAUUGUACUAUUUCUGUCUAAAGACUAGUAGGUUAGCCGACUAGUUUUGUCCAAAGACUAGCCGACUGGUCGACUAGUUUUGUCUAAAGACUAGCAGGCUAGACGACUAAUUUUUUUUCAUAAAGACUUGUCGACUAGUUUGGUCUACAGACUAGCAGGCUAGCCGACUAGUUAUGUCUAAAGACCAGCAAGCUAGUCGACUAGUUUUGUCUAAAGAUUAGCAGGCUAUUGGACUAAUUUUGUUUACAGACUAGCAGGUUAGCCGACUAGUUUUGUCCAAAGACUAGUAGACUAGUUUUGUCUAAAGACUGGACGACAAUUUUUUGGUCUAAAGACUAGUCAUCUAGUUAUGUCUAAAGACUAGCACGCUAGCCGACUAGUUAUGUCUAAAGACUAGCAAGCUAGUCGACUAGUUUUGUCUAAAGAUUAGCAGGCUAUUGGACUAAUUUUGUUUACAGACUAGCAGGUUAGCCGACUAGUUGUGUCCAAAGACUAGUAGACUAGUUUUGUCUAAAGACUAGACGACAAUUUUUUGGUGUAAAGACUAGUCAUCUAGUUAUGUCUAAAGACUAGCAGGCUAGCCGACUAGUUAUGUCUGAAGACUAGCAAGCUAGUCGACUAGUUUUGUCUAAAGAUUAGCAGGCUAUUGGACUAAUUUUGUUUACAGACUAGCAGGCUAGCUGACUAGUUCUGUCUAUUGACUAGCUGACUAGUUUUGUCUCAUGACUAGCAGGCUAGCUGACUAGUUUUGUCUAAAGACUAGCAGGCUAUUGUACUAUUUCUGUCUAAAGACUAGUAGGUUAGCCGACUAGUUUUGUCCAAAGACUAGCCGACUGGUCGACUAGUUUUGUCUAAAGACUAGCAGGCUAGACGACUAAUUUUUUUUCAUAAAGACUUGUCGACUAGUUUGGUCUACAGACUAGCAGGCUAGCCGACUAGUUAUGUCUAAAGACCAGCAAGCUAGUCGACUAGUUUUGUCUAAAGAUUAGCAGGCUAUUGGACUAAUUUUGUUUACAGACUAGCAGGUUAGCCGACUAGUUUUGUCCAAAGACUAGUAGACUAGUUUUGUCUAAAGACUGGACGACAAUUUUUUGGUCUAAAGACUAGUCAUCUAGUUAUGUCUAAAGACUAGCACGCUAGCCGACUAGUUAUGUCUAAAGACUAGCAAGCUAGUCGACUAGUUUUGUCUAAAGAUUAGCAGGCUAUUGGACUAAUUUUGUUUACAGACUAGCAGGUUAGCCGACUAGUUGUGUCCAAAGACUAGUAGACUAGUUUUGUCUAAAGACUAGACGACAAUUUUUUGGUGUAAAGACUAGUCAUCUAGUUAUGUCUAAAGACUAGCAGGCUAGCCGACUAGUUAUGUCUGAAGACUAGCAAGCUAGUCGACUAGUUUUGUCUAAAGAUUAGCAGGCUAUUGGACUAAUUUUGUUUACAGACUAGCAGGUUAGCCGACUAGUUUUGUCCAAAGACUAGUAGACUAGUUUUGUCUAAAGACUAGACGACAAUUUUUUGGUCUAAAGACUAGUCAUCUAGUUAUGUCUAAAGACUAGCAGGCUAGUCGACUAGUUUUUUCUACAGACUAGUAGGUUAGCCAACUAGUUUUGUCCAAAGACUAGCAGACUAGUUGACUAAGUUUGUCUAAACUAGUUUUGUCUCAAGACUAGCAGGCUAGCGGACUAGUUCUGUCUAAAAACGGGCAGGCUAGUUGACUAGUUUUGUCUCAAGACUAGCCAACUAGUUUUGUCUCAAGACCAGCAGGCUAGCCGACCAGUUUUGUUCAAGACUAGCAGGUUAGCCGACUAGUUUUGUCUAUUGACUAGCUGACUAGUUUUGUCUCAUUACUAGCAGACUAGUCGCCUAGUUCUGUCUAAAGACUAGCAGGCUAGUCGACUAGUUAUGUCUAAAGACUAGCAGGCUAUUGGACUAGUUUUGUCUACAGACUAGCAGGUUAGCCGACUAGUUUUGUCCAAAGACUAGCAGACUAGUCGACUCGUUUUGUCUAAAGACUAGCAGGCUAGUCGACUAGUUAUGUCUAAAGACUAGCAGGCUAUUGGACUACUUUUGUCUACAGACUAGCAGGUUAGCCGACUAGUUUUGUCCAAAGACUAGCAGACUAGUCGACUCGUUUUGUCUAAAGACUAGCAGGCUAGACGACUAUUUUUUUGUCUAAAAACUAGCAGGCCAGCCGUCUAGUUUUGUCCAAAGACUAGCAGGCUAUUGGACUAGUUUUGUCUACAGACUAGCAGGUUAGCCGACUAUUUUUGUCCAAAGACUAGCAGACUAGUCGACUAGUUUUGUCUAAAAACUAGCAGGCUAGACUACUAGUUUUUUCCAAAGACUAGCUGGCUAGCUAACUAGUUUUGUCCAAAGACUAACAGACUAGCCGGUUAGUCGACUAGUUUUGUCCAAAGACUGGCAGGUUAGUCGACUAGUUUUGUCCAAAGACUAGACGGCUAGUCGACUAGUUUUGUCCAAAGACUAGCAGACUAGCCGACUAGUUUUGUCCAAAGACUAGCCGGUUAGUCGACUAGUUUUGUCCAAAGACUGGCAGGUUAGUCGACUAGUUUUGUCCAAAGACUAGCAGGCUAGCCGACUAGUUUUGUCCAAAGACUAGCAGACUAGCCGACUAGUUUUGUCCAAAGACUAGCCGGUUAGUCGACUAGUUUUGUCCAAAGACUGGCAGGUUAGUCGACUAGUUUUGUCCAAAGACUAGACGGCUAGUCGACUAGUUUUGUCCAAAGACUAGCAGACUAGCCGACUAGUUUUGUCCAAAGACUAGCCGGUUAGUCGACUAGUUUUGUCCAAAGACUGGCAGGUUAGUCGACUAGUUUUGUCCAAAGACUAGACGGCUAGUCGACUAGUUUUGUCCAAAGACUAGCAGACUAGCCGACUAGUUUUGUCCAAAGACUAGCCGGUUAGUCGACUAGUUUUGUCCAAAGACUGGCAGGUUAGUCGACUAGUUUUGUCCAAAGACUAGCAGGCUAGCCGACUAGUUUUGUCCAAAGACUAGCAGACUAGCCGACUAGUUUUGUCCAAAGACUAGCCGGUUAGUCGACUAGUUUUGUCCAAAGACUGGCAGGUUAGUCGACUAGUUUUGUCCAAAGACUAGACGGCUAGUCGACUAGUUUUGUCCAAAGACUAGCAGACUAGCCGACUAGUUUUGUCCAAAGACUAGCCGGUUAGUCGACUAGUUUUGUCCAAAGACUGGCAGGUUAGUCGACUAGUUUUGUCCAAAGACUAGCAGGCUAGCCGACUAGUUUUGUCUAAAGACUAGCAGGCUAGCCGACUAGUUUUGUCUAAAGACUAGCAGGCUAGCCGACUAGUUUUGUCUAAGGACUAGCGUCACUAAGGCUCGCUAGUUUAGUCCAGAACAAGCAGGCUGUCUCAGUCAAUCAGUCAAUGUUUAUUUACAUAGCCCUAAACCACGAGUGUCUCAAAGGGCUGCACAAGCCACAACCACAGCAGUUUGAAAGAAAUAUUAAGUUAAAACAAAACAAGCUACUUUGCUCGUCUAAGAUGGCAAACUUGAACAAAUUCAGUCCUUUUCUCACCGACUAUUCUGCACCAGGACAACGCCUGAGAUGCUACGUACGACAGAGCUAACCUGGUGGUGGUCACAUGACAUCACACUGUCACGUACACGCCACUGGUAGCGUGUGAAUAGACUAGUCCUUGGCUAAAACUAGCAAUCCGAGCUACUUUUUGUGUUCAUGCUAGUCUCAGAUGGCAAAAUUUUGAACACAUUUGUAGUAAUCUAUACUAUUUUCCAACUACGUACUGCCGAGCUAACAUGGUGGUCAGUUAUAUGACUGAUGUACUAACCUCGUUUCCAAUUGUGUUAGAUGUAAAUAUAAACAGAAUACAAUGAUUUGCAAAUCCUUUUCAACCCAUAUUCAGUUGAAUAUGCUACAAAGACAACAUAUUUGAUGUUCAAACUUUAUUUUUUUUUUUGCAAAUAAUAAUUAACUUAGAAUGGCUGCAACACGUGCCAAAGUAGUUGGGAAAGGGCAUGUUCACCACUGUGUUACAUCACCUUUUCUUUUAACAACACUCAAACGUUUGGGAACUGAGGAAACUAAUUGUUUAAACUUUGAAAGUGGAAUUCUUUCCCAUUCUUGUUUUAUGUAGAGCUUCUGUCGCUCAACAGUCUUCUUGUCGUAUUUUACGCUUCAUAAUGUGCCACACAUUUUCGAUGGGAGACAGGUCUAGCGGGCCAGGAAAGUACCCGCACUCUUUUUUUACGAAGCCACGCUGUUGUAACACGUGCUGAAUGCGGCUUGGCAUUGUCUUGCUGAAAUAAGCAGGGGCAUUGCUUGGAUGACAACAUAUGUUGUUCCAAAACCUGUAUGGACCAUCCAGCAUUAAUGGUGCCUUCCCAGAUGUGUAAGUUACCCAUGACUUGGGCACUAAUACACCCCCAUACCAUCACAGAUGCUGGCUUUUCAACUUUGCGCCUAUAACGGGACGGCGUGGCGCAGUGGGAGAGUGGCCGUGCGCAACCCGAGGGUCACUGGUUCAAAUCCCACCUAGAACCAACCUCGUCACGUCCGUUGUGUCCUGAGCAAGACACUUCACCCUUGCUCCUGAUGGUUGCUGGUUGGCGCCUUGCAUGGCAGCUCCCUCCAUCAGUGUGUGAAUGUGUGUGUGAAUGGGUAAAUGUGGAAGUAGUGUCAAAGCGCUUUGAGUACCUUGAAGGUAGAAAAGCGCUAUACAAGUACAACCCAUUUAUCAUUUAUCAUUUAUAACAAUCAGGAUGGUUAUUUUCCUCUUUGUUCUGUAGCACACCACGUCCACAGUUUCCAAAUAUAAUUUGAAAUGUGGACUCGUCAGACCACAGAACACUUUUCCACUUUGCAUCAGUCCAUCUUAGGUGAUCUCGGGCCCAGAGAAGCCGGCGGCGUUUCUGGAUGUUGUUGAUAAAUAGCUUUUAGCUUUGCAUAGUAGAGCUUUAACUUGCACUUACAGAUGUAGCGACAAACUUUAUUUAGUGACAGUGGUUUUCUGAAGUGUUGAUAUGUGGUGAUAUCCUUUAGAGAUUGAUGUCGGUUUUUGAUACAGUGCCGUCUGAGGGAAUUCAAUGUUGGUUUCCGGCCAUGCCGCUUACAUGGAGUGAUUUCUUCAAAUUCUCUGAAACUUUUGAUAUUAUAGACUGUAGAUGUUGAAAUCCCUAAAUUUCUUGCAAUUGCACUUUGAGAAACCUUCUUAAACUGUUUGACUAUUUGCUUACAUAGUUGUGUACCUCGCUCCAUCCUUUCUUGUGAAAGACUGAGCAUUUUUAUGAAAGCUGUUUUUAUACCCAAUCAUGGCACCCACCUGUUCCCAAUUAGCCUGCACACCUGUGGGAUGUUCCAAAUAAGUGUUUGAUGAGCAUUCCUCAACUUUAUCAGUAUUUAUUGCCACCUUUCCCAACUUCUUUGUCACGUGUUGCUGGCAUCAAAUUCUAAAGUUAAUGAUUAUUUGCACAAAAAAAAUGUUCUUUAUGAGUUUGAACAUCAAAUAUGUUGUCUUUGUAGCAUAUUCAACUGAAUAUGGCUUGAAAAUGAUUUUCAAAUCAUUGUAUUCUGUUUAUAUUUACAACACAAUUUCCCAACUCAUAUGUAAUAGUCUACAAAUACAACAUUUAUUAAUUUAACAAAAAGUUAACUGUUAAUUGUUAACAACAAUGUUGUCAACUGUGAUUAAUCCUCAGAAGAUAAUUAACAUUUCAUUCCGAUCACUCACAUGAAUAUAUUUGAUUUAGUGCUGAAAUGUAAGAAGUUUUUACCUUAACACUCAUCUCCAUUGACUUGGAGGUCAGAACAAUUGCGAGGUCAGCUUGUUGAGGACUGUUCUCAACUCCUGCUUCACUGUUACACACCAACUCUUCUCGCUGCUGCAUGUUCAACCACUAAUGAUCACUUGCAGGGGACAAAAAUAAAGAAGCCAUGAAGUAUUUACGACAAAAACAAAUCACGUUAUUAGUGUCACCUGUCUUUUUUUUCAUCAAACUCCGCCUUAAAGGACAUCCUGCCAAUCAGAUCCAUCACUAAUAGGAUAAUUAGUAGGUCGUUAUUGUCGCAUAGUUUUUCUUUCUUUUUAAAAGCGACCAAAGUCGUCUUGCGGCGGCAACCUUAUCAGCAAUAAAGUUCCCGGGCAGCGAUCCCAAAGAAGGUUGGCUGCGAAGUUGUUCCUCUUGGCUCAAUCCCGUGCACCCUUCAUCGUUCAAAACGAGCGCCGUUAACAAAAUGAAAUAUCAGCUUUUGUGAUUGCUCCUCUUCUCAGUGCAUUAAAACACAUUUCACAACGUUUACGAGCUAAAGUCGAGAUGAAAAACUUUUGUUCCGUGUGUUGAAAAUAACAGCUUCUUUUUUUCCGUAAUUCACUAUUUUAUCGCACGGUAUUUCAUUUUUGUUGUGUAUAAGAGCCCUCCAUUACGUACACAGAAAAUAUCUAUUUUUUUUUCUGUCUGUAAGCAAUAACUGCAUUCUAAUGUAGAAAAAAAACAAAACAGAAAAACAAGUUGUCUGCUGGACAUAAAGAAGUGGAGGUGGUGUCAAUCUCCAUGACAACAAGAAGAAGACAAGGAAAGUUAAGUUGAAACUAACUACGUAUAAGUGUGUUCCUCUAGUACAAAUAUUAAAUACUGUACAUGUACUGUAACUGGUGAAUAAAUAACUAUCAUGUAUAUAAAGACUACAACAACCA
Molecule: RNA transcript, 11965 nt
Organism: Nerophis ophidion (straightnose pipefish)
Lineage: Eukaryota; Metazoa; Chordata; Actinopteri; Syngnathiformes; Syngnathidae
Gene name: protein phosphatase 1E-like
Exons: 9
Source: RefSeq, a predicted model, not a curated record